RNAcentral lists this small nuclear RNA (221 nucleotides) under Myotis davidii. Its description in RNAcentral is "7SK RNA". It matches the Rfam family "7SK RNA". Rfam says of the family: 7SK was discovered as an abundant small nuclear RNA in the mid-70s but a possible function has only recently been suggested. Two independent studies have found that 7SK RNA binds the CDK9/cyclin T complex (known as elongation factor P-TEFb). Lineage: Eukaryota; Metazoa; Chordata; Mammalia; Chiroptera; Vespertilionidae. The record is from Rfam by way of RNAcentral.
UAUAAUGGCCGUCCCUCCCGAAGCUGUGCGCUCAGUCGAAUAGGACGACCUUCCUCCCCUCCCCGCCAGGAGAGGACCGGUCUUCGGUCAAGGGUAUACAAGUAGCUGCGCUCCCCUGCUAGAACCUCCAAACAAGCUCUCAAAAUGUAAAUUCUUCAGGACAGAUUAGAUAUUGUCUUUAAAAAUUUGCUGAUAGUGACACCUGGAUUUGUAUUCUGAGC